Molecule: long non-coding RNA, 5439 nt
Organism: Daphnia magna
Lineage: Eukaryota; Metazoa; Arthropoda; Branchiopoda; Diplostraca; Daphniidae
Exons: 2
Source: RefSeq, a predicted model, not a curated record
AAAACCAUUCAAGUGGAUCUUAAGUUCGUCAAACUAUUGCACUGUAAAAAAAGUGCACCAAAAAUAGAAAUUAAUAUUACCUAAAGUCGAUUCCUCCUAAGUAAAACAAAAAGUGAUUUUUCAUUUUUUUUUCGUUUUGAAAAACACGCAAAUGAAUGUCCCUCAAAAAAAAGAGAACACUCCCUCUCAACACUGAAUGUAUGAGUUAACUCUAAGGCUACUUCUUAUUUGUUGAAAGAGCGGACCGCUCAGAGUCUUUUUAAAAAUAUCUGCAAGCUGCUCCUUGGUGUUUACAUAGUCAACUACUAACGUUCCAUCUUGCUUCUUUGCUCGAACAUAAUCAUAUUUGACAUCCAUAUGUUUGAUGCGCUUAUGAAACUCUUGAUUGGUGAUAUGCUUGAUGGCUCCUUGGCUAUCACAGAGGAGCAUUGUUCGGUUUGAUUGUUUACAACCAGCAUCCUUCAAUAAACGGUGAUGCAUUCAUGAAAUUUCUUUUGCGUGCCUCGCACAUUGAGAGUUUGAGACAUAUUCCGCUUCAGUGGAUGAUAGCGAAACCCAUUUUUCUUGCUGAGUGCUCCAUCUCAGUGGCUCAUUGUUUAUCAUGAGUAUAUAUCCGGUGGUCGAACGACGGGUGGAAUUAUCUCCGGCGAAAUCUAAUGCCCUUUAGGUAAGCCAGAAUUCUUUUCAAAGCAUAUUAUCCCAAUGAACACGUCGGGGGGGAUUGCAGAACUGUGCUACUUGAUUCAAAGCAAACACCAAUGUCUGGUCACGUGCAAACCAUGGCAUAUUACACCAGGCUACCAACAGCUUCACGGAAAGGAAAAAUAUCAAUCUCAAGAUCAUCUUUAAAGGUGAACUCUGUUAAAUUGAGUGAGAGUCAUCUGGAACAAGUUUUGUAAUGCAUUCUGCCAUUCCAAAUCUCUUUAUGAUUUUUGCAAUAUAUUGUUCUUGUGAUAAGUGAAUAAAAAAUUUCUCGAGGCCGCUUGCGGCCGAGGAGCAAUUGGAAUUGUGGAUAAUUUCAGAAUGCGACGUUUUAACUGUGUUGACCUUGUAUUUUCAGCUAAUUACCAAGCAAAAAAACAAAAGAAACAAAGGAACAUCGGUCUCUUCCCCCUUUUGGGUAGCGCCUGGGCCUCAGACUUUUAACCGAAGCUGUUUCGUCCUCUCCUGGUGCCCCCUCGAAAAUGACUCCUGUCGUGAGGAAAAAAUUGCGUUAGUAGGCUGCGGGACAGGGUGGGGUUUUAACCAGUUAAAACGUCGCAUUCUUAAAUUAUCCACAAUUCCAAUUGCUCCUCGGCCGCAAGCGGCCUCGAGCAAUUUCUAAUUGUCCAUAAUUGGAAAUGCUCCGUUCUAACUGUGACUUAGACGCACAACUUUAGCCAUUGGUCACUGAUAGGAUCACGUCUAUGACCGACUCUGAGUUAGAGUCACGCUUAUAAAAGCGGGGGAAAACGGAUUCAGUAGUCCAAUUGCCCGUUUUAAGAAUCGUUUCCACUGAAAGACCCUUAUUAAAAGCUUUAGAUGACGCAGCUCCACGUGUUGAGUGCGCUGAAAAGGUAGAUACGUCGACUCCAGCCUCCUUUAGGAGAGACUUAAUCCAUCUUGCCACUGUUCAGGCUCCAAUCGACUUAAACGGCUUUCGCGAAGCGCUAAGGAAUCCGUCACCGAAACGGUUGUCUACCAGGCCGUCUGUUGCCUGGAUAUAGUUUUCCAUGGACGCCACCGGGCAUAAACGGGGGUCACCUGUAAAUCUCUCGACCGUUACCACUGGCAAGGCUCCACUGCGCUGAGAUUUACGCAGCUUCGAUAGAGUGUAGGAGUAUCCCCACUCACCAAAUUGGACCGAACUCCUAGAAAUUGAGGCUAGCUCGGAGACCCGGGCGAAGGUUGAUGACGAUAAAAGAAAGGCGAGUUUUUUAGAAAGGUUCAGCAGGGACAGGUUUGCAUCAUUUCUCAGAUCACUGACAAAAUUCAGCACACUAUCGACACUCCAUGUUGCUACGUAGCGCGGCUUAGGAGGUUUAUUCAAAAAAAUACCUUUCAUCAAUCAAAUUAUGAGGGGGUGGCUACCGACUCCUUUCCCAUCAACUUGUUCCAAAGUGACUGAUAGCAUUGAUCUUAAAAUAUUUACCGAACUGUAAGAUUUACCCAUCAGGUAGGCCACUUGUCAAGAAUUGCAGAAUCGAAUUCAAAUCAUUCGACAAGGGAUCCGAAUGUCUUUGACGGUACCAAUCACUCCAUAGUGCCCAUCCGGUUUCGUAAGCAGCUGAUGUGGACUGACGGUUUCCAUCGAGCAGAAGUUGCGCCACUUCUUCCGAAAGGCCUUGCUCCUGGAAGCGUCUUCCGAGAGUUUCCAGGCGACUAAGAUGAGGGAUCUUGACUUGAUCUGCGGUUGGGUCUCGCCUGUGGCCGAUGUUAGCUGACGAUCGGUUGGAGCCAGAACUACCGGGACGUCGCUCGCGAGCUCCAGGGCAAGCGGGAACCAUACUUGGCUCGGCCAGUAUGGCGUUACCAGCCCCAGAUCCGCCAAUUCCCUCCUGACUUUGGAAAUACAACGAAGAAUUAGGCUGAAUGGUGGGAAGGCGUAAGCUCUUAGGUUUUUCCAGCUGAACGUGAAAGCGUUCACUGCCCAUGCUCCGGGCUCCGGCUGCCAACUAGCAAAUUUGACCAAUUGUGAGCUCCAUGCGGCAGCAAAUAAGUCGACCUCAAUCUUCCAGCGUGAAUUGAUCUGGUGGAAGCUUACUUCCUAAAGCUUCCAAUCACUCUGGUCUUGAAAAACCCUGGACUGAUAAUCUGCCAUAAUGUUAAGACUGCCGGCCAAGUGAACUGCCUUCAAUGAAAGCUGCCUUGCCUCGCACCAGUCUACAAUGGAUUUCGCCGUUGCCGAAAGGCUACGUGACCAUGUACCUCCACACCUGUUAAUAUAAGCUACCGCCGUACUAUUAUACGCAUAGAUUAAAACAUAUGCUCUGGUUGCGCGAGCCGUAAAGCAUUGCAGUGCAUAGAGCACGGCAAUUAGCUCGAGAUGAUUAAUGUGAAGGGGUUUUUCUUCUUAAGUCCAAGGGCCCUGGGCUGUAGAUUUGUCGCAGACCGCCCCCUAACCUAUUAAGGACGCAUCUGCAAAUAUCGUAAUGUCCAUGAACCCAUCCGAGCUCAGCCCAAUUGGUUUCCCAUUAACCUUUAAAAGGUUGUCUCGCCACCAGGCCAAAUCUCAUUUAGAUUCCAUGUCUAAAGGUAUCUUAGCGCUGAGGUCGGAAAGGCGCGACUCGACUAAGAAUCGAUGCUGAAGACGCCUAUAAUACGCUUGAGCGAAGGGACGGCUGAAAUUGCCCAUGAAAAGUUCCCUAUCAAGGAGCUUAGGUCCCACAACGAGACUUUGUCUAGGGACAACAUCUUCCGGCAAGAACCAAUCAUUUUUUCUACUUUGUCCUUCUUGAGGGAAAGCGUCAGACACCGAGAGUCUAUGACCAGGCCCAAAAACUUUCUAGAUUGCGACGGUACGCCCGACGACUUGGCUCUGUUAAUCACAAAGCCUACUGCUUCAAGGAGCUCUACCGUGAAAAGAAAAUCCUUUUCACAUUGAAUCUUGCUUGAACUAAUGAUUAGAAAAUCGUAAAGGUAAACGAUCAGAUUAAUUCCCUUUCCCCGCAAAAAAGAGACAAUAGGCUUAAGCAAUUUAGUAAACGCCCACGGGGCCGAUGAUAGACCAAAAGGUAAGCAGAUGAACUGUAAAAUUUGACCCUCAAAUAAAAAUUUGCAAAAAAGGUUGAUGGUGGGCGUUCACAGGAAUGGAAAAAUAGGCGUCCUUCAAAUCUACUUUAGGGAACAUUUCCCCCCCAAAGAUUAGUUCUUUCAAGUUAGAGAUACCUUCCAUUCUAAAUUUUCUGUAGACAAAAAACUGGUUUAAAUGCUUUAGAUUUGCAAUGGGUCGCAAUACGCCACUUGAUUUCAAGAUCACAAAAAACCCACUUACGAAGCAGUGAUCUGCUUCGCUCACUUUGGCCACGGCUCCUUUCCCCAACAUUUCCAACAACUCUUUCCUACAAACUGCGAGCUGGAUGGGUUCCAUUAAAGGCGUGAAAGGUAUUCUCGGAGCUCUUGGCUCCUCCUUAAAGUCCAAGGAAAGGCCAUUUUUCACUGUAUCCAAGACCCACGGGUCCUUAGUUAAGGACUGCCACAUAGGUAAAAAAAAUUUUACUCGCCCGGCAAAAUAAACGUUCUCCCGCAAGUGGGAACAAGGAAAUAGAUGAUUUGGGCUAUACCUGCCACGCUGGUGGUCGAUGGUUCCACUACCCGGGUAGUUUUCACCUCUGCCCCUCGAAUGGAAUCUGCCGUUGACGGGCCCGCCAAAAGCAGUCCGGCCACGGAUGAAGUUACUUGGGGCCCGAACAUUAUGGCCACCCGAACGGCUCAUACUUCUUAAAUUCUCUGCUUCGCGAGCCGUUCUUACCAUCGAACGGAGAAAACAGCGGCCAAAGAGGUCCCCGCCUUCCUUCACUGAGCAGCGUUCUUUCUCCUCUCAGAGGGAGACAUAACGGCCGCCCGUUUGCCUCAAACCAUUGAGCCUCCGUCUCUUGGUAACCUCCGAGAAGGCGUUUCCCACCAGACUUAGGGCCGUGCUAGCUGCCCGCUUCAGGCUGCGACUGGCGCCUAGGCGAUCUAGUUCAUUUUUUAAAUGAAGAAGGGGACGCACGCCAUCUAUUAUCCUUAACUGAAUUUCAGUAAGUGAUAUCUCCAUUGGGUCGUUUAGCCUGGUAGUCUGAGAACGCAUGUUGCUCCCAUUUCAAGCCGCGAUCAAUCGCCUCUUCAUCGAAGAGUCUAGCAAGGGGGCUUUUAGCUGGAAGGAGCUACCUUCAAAUUUUGGCUCGUAUCGCUCUCUCAGGGCCCUUGAGUCUGAUGAGCUGGCACCCCGCGCUAAAAGUUUCCGCGUCCGCCUCGCUGACUUCUUGUCGACUGAAAAUUCGGUACGAAAAAUAUCCUCGGACUGCCUAUGCCGUGCCUGGCUGGGCGACCGAAUAUCGCGGGAAAAGGAGCGGCUACCACGGCCGAUGAGUGAACUGGAGUGGCUUCGGCGCACCGAAUGCAACCGGCUCCUACGGGAAAUGCGUGAGCGGCCCCUUUGUACUGAGCGUGAGCGGCUUCUACGCAAUAGAUGGGCUCGAUCCCCACGUGGGGCUGGUGAAGACGAGCGUGGCUCCCGGAGGGGCACAUCCAAGGCUGACAAUGACGGACUGCGAGAAACCCGUGAUCCUGAAACGCCUAAGGAACUAUCACUUGUACUGCUUGAAGAGCUUGAACUAGCCAUGAAUGCGCUUGGUAAGUGCCUAAAAAAGUCCGAAGCCCAGGCGCUACCCAAAAGGGGGAAGAGACCAAUCUUUCUUUGUUUCUUUUGUUUUUUGCUUGGUAAUUAGCUGAAAAUACAAGGUCAACACAGUUGUA